AGCAGCCGCCGCGGUAAAACGGAGGGUGCAAGCGUUAUUCGGAAUUACUGGGCGUAAAGCGCACGCAGGCGGUUGCCCAAGUCAGAUGUGAAAGCCCCGGGCUUAACCUGGGAACUGCAUUUGAAACUGGGCGACUAGAGUAUGAAAGAGGAAAGCGGAAUUUCCAGUGUAGCAGUGAAAUGCGUAGAUAUUGGAAGGAACACCGAUGGCGAAGGCAGCUUUCUGGGUCGAUACUGACGCUCAUGUGCGAAAGCGUGGGGAGCAAACAGGAUUAGAUACCCGCGUAGUCCCUGUCUCUUAUAC
RNAcentral lists this ribosomal RNA (303 nucleotides) under uncultured bacterium. RNAcentral's name for it is "partial 16S ribosomal RNA". It matches the Rfam family "Bacterial small subunit ribosomal RNA", at positions 507 to 807 of the family's 1533-position model. The record is from RNAcentral.